GGGACACGUGGUAUCCUGUCUGAAUAUGGGGGGACCAUCCUCCAAGGCUAAAUACUCCUGACUGACCGAUAGUGAACCAGUACCGUGAGGGAAAGGCGAAAAGAACCCCGGCGAGGGGAGUGAAAAAGAACCUGAAACCGUGUACGUACAAGCAGUGGGAGCACGCUUAGGCGUGUGACUGCGUACCUUUUGUAUAAUGGGUCAGCGACUUAUAUUCUGUAGCAAGGUUAACCGAAUAGGGGAGCCGAAGGGAAACCGAGUCUUAACUGGGCGUUAAGUUGCAGGGUAUAGACCCGAAACCCGGUGAUCUAGCCAUGGGCAGGUUGAAGGUUGGGUAACACUAACUGGAGGACCGAACCGACUAAUGUUGAAAAAUUAGCGGAUGACUUGUGGCUGGGGGUGAAAGGCCAAUCAAACCGGGAGAUAGCUGGUUCUCCCCGAAA
RNAcentral lists this ribosomal RNA (443 nucleotides) under Escherichia coli. RNAcentral's name for it is "partial 23S ribosomal RNA". It matches the Rfam family "Bacterial large subunit ribosomal RNA", at positions 419 to 864 of the family's 2925-position model. The record is from RNAcentral. RNAcentral also lists the same sequence under 1 other name. Lineage: Bacteria; Pseudomonadati; Pseudomonadota; Gammaproteobacteria; Enterobacterales; Enterobacteriaceae.